UUGGUUCGUUCUAUAUGGUCCGCCAUCCAAGUAGCUUUUGGCUUCUAUCCUCCACGUAGUGUUGCUAACAUAUUUAGCAACUGGUUAGAUGAGAUUGAUCAAAAGUUUAGAAUUCUUCUCAGGAUGGGAGCGCUAGCCAUUAUUUGGUCGUUUUGGCUAUGUACAAAUGAUAAAGUCUUUAACGACAAAAAAUCUUCUCUUCUGCAGCUUAUCUACAGAUGUACUGGUACACUUCGUUUAUGGUCAUCUCUACAACGUGUGGAGGAUCUAGACCUAUUUACGGAGAUGUGUACAUGA
This 297-nucleotide ribosomal RNA is filed under the name Triticum aestivum (bread wheat). Its description in RNAcentral is "partial small subunit ribosomal RNA". Lineage: Eukaryota; Viridiplantae; Streptophyta; Magnoliopsida; Poales; Poaceae. The record is from RNAcentral.